This 1743-nucleotide long non-coding RNA is filed under the name Gallus gallus (chicken). Its description in RNAcentral is "long non-coding RNA NONGGAT003614". Lineage: Eukaryota; Metazoa; Chordata; Aves; Galliformes; Phasianidae. The record is from RNAcentral.
GAACCCCUCAAUCUGCCCCUUCUGACCCACCCAGAACCCCUCAAUCUGCUCCUUCUGCCCCACACAGAACCCCUCAGUCUGCCUCUUCUACCGCACCCAGAACCCCUCAAUCUGCCUCUCCUGCCCCACCCAAGAUCUCUCAAUCUGCCCCUUCUGACCCACACAGAACCCCUCAAUCUGCCCCUUCCAACCCACCCAGAACCCCUCAAUCUGCCCCUUCUGCCCCAUCUGACCCACGCAGAGCACCCCACUGCCCCACGCUGUUUGGGACAGGAGCUGAGGGACGCGGGGAGGAGCCCACGUUGUUCUGCUCCACACACCCAGGCUGUGUUCCCAGCAGUUGGAAAUUUCUGAUAGCACCUUUUGGGAUAAUUUCACGUUAUAGGGGUUGGACUUGAUCUCUUGAGGUCAAUUCUACUCCCUGCAAUUCUGUGAUGCUCUGUGUUGGAAGUCACUUUGUCUCUGCGUGGCUCUUGGUUGUUUUUUUCCUGCUCAGGAAAGAGAGGUGGUGGAGAGCCCUUUACCCUGUCAUAUUUGCUCGUCCAUCUCAAGGACAGCUGACAGCGAAGCAUCAGGUCUGCACUCCUUGUGUUUGCUCUCAGCAGUGCCAAUGGACCCAUCCUCAAGCAGCAAGGCUGCAGACAUCGCUCCUUCAGUGACUUCAGAAGGGCAUGUAAUAAACAAUGCAGAAGACAGGGAAGUUGAAAAACACGACUAGGAAUGCUGGCACAGACCAUGAGGCUCUCCUUGCACAGUUUGGAUACCUGAACCAUCAGAAUCCUGGCGGGUGAAAUUCAUUGCUUGGGGAUUUUGAUCAGAGCAGUGAGUGCGAGAUAUAAACUACUGUGGCUGUGCAUUCUGUGGAGUGAAAAGCAGAGAAAGAAGUCACUCAAGUUAAAGCCUAGAACCAGAACGAAAGCACUAUCUUAUGAUGUGGGCAAUUGUCUGAAAUAUGUCAUGUAGGUGACCCAGUCCCACACCCAGCAGUAAUCGCCAAAUUCCAGGUCAGUAUUGGUUUUGAAUGACUUAAGUUGCAACCAAGAAUGAAGUUGCUUUAUCCCGGUGUUCUUCACCCAGGUCUCAGCAAGCACCCAUGCUGCAGCAUCCUUUGAGCAGUUGUAGCUCAUGCAGCUGUCAGAAAAUGUACUUCAGAUGCCAGUGUAGUUGUUUCAAAGAAGAACAUGUGAGCUGAAGCCAGGUGACGUUUACAUUAAAGUAGCUUGGUGAGUAGCUACCAGCCCAUAUGUGCUUCCAUUUCAGACUUGUCUUCACAUUUUAAUUCUUCUCAGCUUUGCUUUUACACACCAAAGCCACAGUAUCACACUGUUAUGAUUACUAAUAUCUUUUUCAUGUCAAGAACCCAGUCCUUCUCUACCAAAACCGAGUACCCUCACCCCCAUUGCUUCCUCCAUCACUUCCAGGGCAGCUCUGGCAUCUCACAGCAAGGCAGCAUUGUUCCGCUCUCACUGCUUACAGACAGGGAUUGCAAGUUGGUGCAGCUCUCAGGGCUGUGCAGGCAGAUCUGUGCACACACAGAUCAUUCAGGCAAUUAAAGUCAGUAACUGGAGAAGCUGGUGGAGCCCGUCAGCCAUCUGCUUUGUCGGAGGAGGAGGGCCUACAGUGAAGCCCUGCUGGAAGCUCUGUUAGUUAUGUAAAGCAGUAAACCGAAAUAAGAUUGGUGAAUGGGGAGCACUGUAAGGUGAGGCACAGUUUGGGCCAAAUCACUCCAUCUCCUCCGUACAA